This is a long non-coding RNA of Cyprinus carpio (common carp), 659 nucleotides long. RefSeq lists it as uncharacterized. The record is from RefSeq and is a predicted model, not a curated record. NCBI's taxonomy places the organism in Eukaryota, Metazoa, Chordata, Actinopteri, Cypriniformes, Cyprinidae. The transcript is spliced from 3 exons.
CUUUGAAUCUGGUUUUGUGACAUUGCUCAUAAAUGCAGGAGGUGUUUAGUGUUUGAUGAACAGGGUGUUUUCAUUUCACAUCAAAACCACAGAGAUGAGCUGAAGGUUCAGAGUCAGUUUAAUUCGGCUGUGAAGAACUAACGGUCUUUAUUCAGGAAACCCACAUGAGACUCACAGAGAGAUGAACGAGAGUUGAGUGCAUGUCUGCAAAAGAGAGACUAAAAUGUGCUACUUUCCCUUCAUAAUUUAGUUUAAUCUGAUCAAUUAAUUGUAUUUCUAAUGCAUGAAGUUUAUCUAUCACUCUGUCUGUGUGUUUUAUUCUCAGAUUUCUCCAUGAUCAUCAUUAUUAGUGUGUGUGUGAUUCUGCUGCUGAUCGCUGGAUUCACUCUGACUGUGUGCACAUUAAGACACAAGAGACAAGGAAGAAUCUCAACAUCAGACAAGAGAAAGAAGAAGAAAAAUAUAAUGUCAUCAUGUGCAGACAGCAGACAUGAUUCUCUCUCAGAUCAUGGAUCAGCUCAAAUGAACACUCAUGAUGAAUUACCCACAAUCCCCUCUGAUGGGCUCCUGUACACUGCUGUCAGUUUCGAGAAGCAUCCAGAAGAGUCUCUCAGUGAAGCUACAGUCAGAUUCAGAAAGAAUGAGAUUCACUCUGAUUA